GACGAACGCUGGCGGCGUGCUUAACACAUGCGAGUCGAACGGAAAGGCCCUGCUUUUGUGGGGUGCUCGAGUGGCGAACGGGUGAGUAACACGUGAGUAACCUGCCCUUGACUUUGGGAUAACUUCAGGAAACUGGGGCUAAUACCGGAUAGGAGCUCCUGCUGCAUGGUGGGGGUUGGAAAGUUUCGGCGGUUGGGGAUGGACUCGCGGCUUAUCAGCUUGUUGGUGGGGUAGUGGCUUACCAAGGCUUUGACGGGUAGCCGGCCUGAGAGGGUGACCGGCCACAUUGGGACUGAGAUACGGCCCAGACUCCUACGGGAGGCAGCAGUGGGGAAUAUUGCACAAUGGGCGGAAGCCUGAUGCAGCAACGCCGCGUGCGGGAUGACGGCCUUCGGGUUGUAAACCGCUUUCGCCUGUGACGAAGCGUGAGUGACGGUAAUAGGUAAAGAAGCACCGGCUAACUACGUG
RNAcentral lists this ribosomal RNA (468 nucleotides) under uncultured bacterium. Its description in RNAcentral is "partial 16S ribosomal RNA". It matches the Rfam family "Bacterial small subunit ribosomal RNA", at positions 28 to 507 of the family's 1533-position model. The record is from RNAcentral.